UUAAUUGAAAUUAAUUUCUUUUACAAUGAAAUAAAGUCAUUACGACCAAUUAAU
RNAcentral lists this transfer RNA (54 nucleotides) under Echiniscus testudo. Its description in RNAcentral is "tRNA-Val". Lineage: Eukaryota; Metazoa; Tardigrada; Heterotardigrada; Echiniscoidea; Echiniscidae. The record is from RNAcentral.